Molecule: long non-coding RNA, 2121 nt
Organism: Podarcis raffonei (Aeolian wall lizard)
Lineage: Eukaryota; Metazoa; Chordata; Lepidosauria; Squamata; Lacertidae
Exons: 9
Source: RefSeq, a predicted model, not a curated record
UUGGUGAAGUGGCAAAAAUGUAUGUUAUCCCAAAUUAUGUCUUAAAGGUACCUGUACUUUAAUUUCUUUUCAGCAGAGCCAACUGCACUUCUCCAAAUGUUGUGAUGCAGUUCGCCAACCAUAAAAUGUGCACAGAAAUACACACAUGUUAGGGUAAAGUGCACUAAAAAUGUGCAUUGGUGAAAAUAGCAUACAAAGGUGUGUUGUAUUAGGGGAAAUUACUUGCAAAGGUGCAACUAUUAGGCAACGUUGGAUUCAAAGACGUGUGCAUUAGGAGGAGAAAUGUGUGUGAAAAUAACAUUAAAAAGGCUGUGUGGUUUUCUUAUUUUUAAAGUCCCAAACUAAUGAGGAAAUGGAAAGAAGACUGGAAGAACAAGAAACAGAGAGAAACCAAAACUGACAAAUUUGUCCUUCCCUUGAGUUCAGUGGGGCCUACUCCCAGGUGUGUUGCCUGCACAUAUCAGUGCGCCCAGUCUCAGUAAAUAUCUCCUCAAAAACUGACUAUGCAUGAGAGACUGUUUGAUCCUCCAGCUCCAUUCCUGUCUGACGCUGCAUUCUUAAUGGGGUGGGUGGCAAGGAAGUAUGACCGUUUUGUGGCCCUGUCUCCUUUUCUGCUCUUGCGGAUGUGGCAGCCAUUUUGUGUUUUGCUAAUCACCCCAUGGCAGCCAUGUUGUGACUGCCGCAAAUGACACUUUCUCAAAAUUCUAAAUGUGUCUACUGGCCCAAAAAGUAGUGAGAACCACAGUGUUUUGGAUCCAGAUCUCCAGUCUCAUCCCUGACUGAGAAGCUGCAUCUGCUCUCCAGAAACGGCCCUGAAAUGUGGACAUUCUGUACUUUAGGGCCCAGGGAGAGCCGCCUGGUGCCAAACAGGUGCAUGUUGUCUUCCCCUAUCUUGACAAUGCUGUCUUGUGCAUGGAACUGUUUGCAAGGAAAGACAGAAAAAUCCUAGGCAAAAGCUGCUGCGCUCACCACUGGCAGAGGACACUGUGCUUUGCUAGAAGCAAAUAUUUUUCUUAUUAACAAGUCAAUGAGAAGAUUUAUUAUUGAUGUUAUUUCAUGCGAGUUCAAUUAGACAGAGGACAAGGCUAUCAACUGCUACUAGCCAAAAGGGCUAGUAGCACAGCAUGCAGAUGAAGAAGUUGCCCUUUCUGUGGGUCAUUCUACGUGGCUGAACAUGCCAUCUUGCAUCUAGAGUCCAGAUGCGUGCAUUCCUGCCACAUAAUUAACAGUGGAUAAUGUUUUGCUACCCUAAGCAUUUCAUCUUCACAGCAACCCUAAGAGAAAUUUGGGACACAUCUGCAUCCAAAUUAGAAGGAACUGCCACCUCACUCAUGCUACAAGGCACUGUCAAAUAUCUCAACGCACAUCUCUUUGCAAAAAUGUCUCUUCCCGCCUUGCUCAGGGUAAAAGGGCACCCAAGUGACCAAUAUCCUUGGACAAGUAGAAUAAACUCAAGGCACAUUCUAAAGCAAGCAGAUGACAGAAUGACACAAACUUACAUCCAGCGAAGGCUCCGGCAUAUCAGAUGUCCCCUGCCCACCAGCCUGACCUUCUAAGGCUGAGGAGGGGUUAAAGGCCAGGUCAUUGUGUGGAUGGUUGCUAGGAGCGGCCUGUGGCGGCUGCCGGGACGGCUGGGUAGGAGGACCGCUGUGAUGUAAUGGCUGCCCUGACUGGCUGCUGGGAUGAGUCACAUCUUCUGGGCAAAAAGGCAUCCCCAUCAAAGAAGCAGCUCUUGACAGAUGUUUCCACAGCAAAUUCACCUUAAGCCAAUUAAGGUGAAUGCUGCAAAACUAAAGACUUCCAUGCCAUCAGGUGUGAGAGAAGGCAGCGCGUGCUUAUGCUAUUCCAAGAAGCCAGCUCCUGCAACAUCAAGCCAUUUUUCUCUUUGCUGUGUAAUCUCCCUUCCAAACCAUAAACAGAACAGCUGUGAUCCCUGUCACUCAAUUUAAGGACUGCCUACUGUUCUACCAAUAGGAUGCUUCACCAACCUGUUUCAGAUCAACUGCCUGGAAGAGGAAGAUAUGCUCACAACUGCUUCUGAGGUGGGCAGUAGAUGGUUAGUGGCAGAUACUGUUUGAUAGAUGCAAACACACAUACUCAAAACGUUUAAACCCACCUUGG